AUGAUCCUCUUGAAGGCCUCUGAGGAAAAUACCGUCUGUGGAUGCUUCACUCAGUAUUACCAGAAUGUCCCAUCUCCAGGAAGUCGUAUUGGAGAAUAUAAGCUUUCGCUAUUUUGGAAGUAUUGUCACAUUACAGUCCUACAAGCGAAGAAAGCAAAUGGCAACUUCAUAAUUGCAGGUCUAGUAAGGAAGUAUUUUUAUCAUCUUAAGGACAACGUUUGUGUAUGGAUAGAGUGGUUCUCCUGGAUGGAAACAAUAUUCAUCAUUACUGACCUAGCUGGUGAGGCAAGCUGUGGUGCUCCCUGCUUACCUUCAGGAGGGAGGUAAGCAUGCGAAUCGCAGGGAAGAGAAUAGGGAUGGGGGGG
RNAcentral lists this long non-coding RNA (365 nucleotides) under Struthio camelus australis. Its description in RNAcentral is "lncRNA (ENSSCUG00000012143.1)". Lineage: Eukaryota; Metazoa; Chordata; Aves; Struthioniformes; Struthionidae. The record is from RNAcentral.